Molecule: ribosomal RNA, 466 nt
Filed under: Vreelandella stevensii
Lineage: Bacteria; Pseudomonadati; Pseudomonadota; Gammaproteobacteria; Oceanospirillales; Halomonadaceae
Description: partial 16S ribosomal RNA
Rfam family: Bacterial small subunit ribosomal RNA
Source: RNAcentral
CCUACGGGCGGCAGCAGUGGGGAAUAUUGGACAAUGGGGGCAACCCUGAUCCAGCCAUGCCGCGUGUGUGAAGAAGGCCCUCGGGUUGUAAAGCACUUUCAGUGAGGAAGAACGCCUGGUGGUUAAUACCCAUCAGGAAAGACAUCACUCACAGAAGAAGCACCGGCUAACUCCGGUGCCAGCAGCCGCGGUAAUACGGAGGGUGCGAGCGUUAAUCGGAAUUACUGGGCGUAAAGCGCGCGUAGGUGGCUUGAUAAGCCGGUUGGGAAAGCCCCGGGCUCAACCUGGGAACGGCAUCCGGAACUGUCAAGCUAGAGUGCAGGAGAGGAAGGUAGAAUUCCCGGCGUAGCGGUGAAAUGCGUAGAGAUCGGGAGGAAUACCAGUGGCGAAGGCGGCCUUCUGGACUGACACUGACACUGAGGUGCGAAAGCGUGGGUAGCAAACAGGAUUAGAUACCCCUGUAGUC